This 497-nucleotide ribosomal RNA is filed under the name uncultured bacterium. Its description in RNAcentral is "partial 16S ribosomal RNA". It matches the Rfam family "Bacterial small subunit ribosomal RNA", at positions 28 to 507 of the family's 1533-position model. The record is from RNAcentral.
GAUGAACGCUGGCGGCGUGCCUAAUACAUGCAAGUCGAGCGAACAGACGAGGAGCUUGCUCCUCUCACGUUAGCGGCGGACGGGUGAGUAACACGUGGAUAACCUACCUAUAAGACUGGGAUAACUUCGGGAAACCGGAGCUAAUACCGGAUAAUAUAUUGAACCGCAUGGUUCAAUAGUGAAAGACGGUUUUGCUGUCACUUAUAGAUGGUUCCGCGCCGCAUUAGCUAGUUGGUAAGGUAACGGCUUACCAAGGCAACGAUGCGUAGCCGACCUGAGAGGGUGAUCGGCCACACUGGAACUGAGACACGGUCCAGACUCCUACGGGAGGCAGCAGUAGGGAAUCUUGCGCAAUGGGCGAAAGCCUGACGGAGCAACGCCGCGUGAGUGAUGAAGGUCUUCGGAUCGUAAAACUCUGUUAUUAGGGAAGAACAAAUGUGUAAGUAACUAUGCACGUCUUGACGGUACCGAAUGAGAAAGCCACGGCUAACUACGUG